GAACGCUGGCGGCAUGCUUUACACAUGCAAGUCGAACGGCAGCACAGGGAGCUUGCUCCCGGGUGGCGAGUGGCGCACGGGUGAGUAAUACAUCGGAACGUGUCCUGUUGUGGGGGGAUAACUGCUCGAAAGGGUGGCUAAUACCGCAUGAGACCUGAGGGUGAAAGCGGGGGAUCGCAAGACCUCGCGCAAUUGGAGCGGCCGAUGCCCGAUUAGCUAGUUGGUGAGGUAAAGGUUCACCAAGGCGACGAUCGGUAGCUGGUCUGAGAGGACGACCAGCCACACUGGGACUGAGACACGGCCCAGACUCCUACGGGAGGCAGCAGUGGGGAAUUUUGGACAAUGGGGGCAACCCUGAUCCAGCCAUGCCGCGUGCAGGAUGAAGGCCUUCGGGUUGUAAACUGCUUUUGUCAGGGACGAAAAGGACCGUGUUAAUACCAUGGUCUACUGACGGUACCUGAAGAAUAAGCACCGGCUAACUACGUG
This 486-nucleotide ribosomal RNA is filed under the name uncultured bacterium. RNAcentral's name for it is "bacterial SSU rRNA". It matches the Rfam family "Bacterial small subunit ribosomal RNA", at positions 31 to 507 of the family's 1533-position model. The record is from RNAcentral.